RNAcentral lists this ribosomal RNA (495 nucleotides) under uncultured bacterium. RNAcentral describes it as "bacterial SSU rRNA". It matches the Rfam family "Bacterial small subunit ribosomal RNA", at positions 28 to 511 of the family's 1533-position model. The record is from RNAcentral.
GAUGAACGCUAGCUACAGGCUUAACACAUGCAAGUCGAGGGGCAGCAUGGUCUUAGCUUGCUAAGGCCGAUGGCGACCGGCGCACGGGUGAGUAACACGUAUCCAACCUGCCGUCUACUCUUGGACAGCCUUCUGAAAGGAAGAUUAAUACAAGAUGGCAUCAUGAGUCCGCAUGUUCACAUGAUUAAAGGUAUUCCGGUAGACGAUGGGGAUGCGUUCCAUUAGAUAGUAGGCGGGGUAACGGCCCACCUAGUCUUCGAUGGAUAGGGGUUCUGAGAGGAAGGUCCCCCACAUUGGAACUGAGACACGGUCCAAAACUCCUACGGGAGGCAGCAGUGGGGAAUAUUGGUCAAUGGACGAGAGUCUGAACCAGCCAAGUAGCGUGAAGGAUGAAGGUCCUACGGAUUGUAAACUUCUUUUAUAAGGGAAAUAAACCCUCCCACGUGUGGGAGCUUGUAUGUACCUUAUGAAUAGCAUCGGCUAACUCCGUGCCAG